RNAcentral lists this ribosomal RNA (307 nucleotides) under uncultured eukaryote. RNAcentral describes it as "partial 18S ribosomal RNA". It matches the Rfam family "Eukaryotic small subunit ribosomal RNA", at positions 1470 to 1796 of the family's 1831-position model. The record is from RNAcentral.
CCCUUAGACGUUCUGGGCCGCACGCGCGCUACACUGACGAAGGCAACGAGCUUUCCUUUACCGAAAGGUACGGGUAAUCUUUUGAAACUUCGUCGUGCUGGGGAUAGAUCCUUGCAAUUUUUGAUCUUAAACGAGGAAUGCCUAGUAAGCGCAAGUCAUCAACUUGCGUUGAUUACGUCCCUGCCCUUUGUACACACCGCCCGUCGCUACUACCGAUUGAAUGGUUUGGUGAGGCCUUCGGAUCCGCGACUCGUUUGUGGAGAAGUUGGACAAACUCAGUCAUUUAGAGGAAGUAAAAGUCGUAACA